RNAcentral lists this ribosomal RNA (468 nucleotides) under uncultured bacterium. RNAcentral's name for it is "partial 16S ribosomal RNA". It matches the Rfam family "Bacterial small subunit ribosomal RNA", at positions 28 to 507 of the family's 1533-position model. The record is from RNAcentral.
GACGAACGCUGGCGGCGUGCUUAACACAUGCAAGUCGAACGGAAAGGCCCUGCUUUUGUGGGGUGCUCGAGUGGCGAACGGGUGAGUAACACGUGAGUAACCUGCCCUUGACUUUGGGAUAACUUCAGGAAACUGGGGCUAAUACCGGAUAGGAGCUCCUGCUGCAUGGUGGGGGUUGGAAAGUUUCGGCGGGUGGGGAUGGACUCGCGGCUUAUCAGCUUGUUGGUGGGGUAGUGGCUUACCAAGGCUUUGACGGGUAGCCGGCCUGAGAGGGUGACCGGCCACAUUGGGACUGCGAUACGGCCCAGACUCCUACGGGAGGCAGCAGUGGGGAAUAUUGCACAAUGGGCGGAAGCCUGAUGCAGCAACGCCGCGUGCGGGAUGACGGCCUUCUGGUUGUAAACCGCUUUCGCCUGUGACGAAGCGUGAGUGACGGUAAUGGGUAAAGAAGCACCGGCUAACUACGUG